CCUACGGGAGGCAGCAGUGAGGAAUAUUGGUCAAUGGACGAGAGUCUGAACCAGCCAAGUAGCGUGAAGGAUGACUGCCCUAUGGGUUGUAAACUUCUUUUAUAUGGGAAUAAAAUGUUCCACGUGUGGGGUUUUGUAUGUACCAUAUGAAUAAGGAUCGGCUAACUCCGUGCCAGCAGCCGCGGUAAUACGGAGGGUCCGAGCGUUAUCCGGAUUUAUUGGGUUUAAAGGGGGCGUAGGUGGAUUGUUAAGUCAGGUGUGAAAGUUUGCGGCUCAACCGUAAAAUUGCAGUUGAAACUGGCAGUAUUGAGUACAGUAGAGGUAGGCGGAAUUCGUGGUGUAGCGGUGAAAUGCUUAGAUAUCACGAAGAACUCCGAUUGCGAAGGCAGCUCACUGGACUGCAACUGACACUGAGGCACGAAAGUGUGGGUAUCAAACAGGAUUAGAUACCCCUGUAGUC
RNAcentral lists this ribosomal RNA (460 nucleotides) under uncultured bacterium. RNAcentral's name for it is "partial 16S ribosomal RNA". It matches the Rfam family "Bacterial small subunit ribosomal RNA", at positions 338 to 795 of the family's 1533-position model. The record is from RNAcentral.